AAAAAACAGAAUUUAUGAAUGCAAAACAUCAUCACAAAAUACUGAUCUUGGGUUAAAAGGAGAAAAUUUAGUUUUAAAAACUCAAGAAUUUUAAUUGCUUCAUAACACAUUAAAAGUACUCAAUAACUACCUGCCGGUUCAAACAAAAUUAUCAACAGUUUCAAACAACAAAUCACCACCAAUACCUAAAGAAAAUGUUUCCAACUUUUACUGCGAUAUAAAUAGAUUACUGGUUAAGUCAUUUGGCGUUCAUACUUAUGAAGAAAAAAUGGGAAUUACUUUAAGAGGGAGGCCUACUCCUACAUUACCCAAUUUUAAAUCUAAAACUAAAAAUUGUUACCGAUAUUUUAAAGAAUGUUUUUAUAAAAUUUGUGAUUGGCUUUGUGGUUGUUCAGACAAAUUAUAUUGCUGGCCCUGCAUACUUUUUUCACAUAGUGAAUCAAAUAUCUGGUCAAAAUAUGGUUUUACUGAUAUGUUUAAUUUUCAUGGUUUAAAAAUUUUUGGGAAAAACAGAAUAGAUAUUUGUUUAAGUGAACAUUUAAAAAAAAAAACAUAAGUAAAUAUAAUGAAAAUGUAGAUAAUAAUAGGUACAUUGUAAGUAAAUUAAUUGAUAUCACUUGUUUUCUCGUUAAAAAAGAAUUAGCUUUUAGAGGUCACAAUGAAAAAUUAAAUUCUUUAAAUAAAGGUAAUUUUGUCGAAACAUUUAACUUGCUCUCUUCUAUUGAUGAUUAAAAUUUCAUAUUUCAAAUUCUACUGUUUUUAUAAACCUUUCUAAUGACAUACAAAAUGAUUUGAUAAAUUCCAUUAAAAAUUUUAUAAUUACCAAAAUUAAAAAUUAAAUUAAACAUGCUGAGUUCUUAGCAAUAAUUACUGAUGAAACAACUGAUAUAACUAAAAAAUCACAACUCACAACAGUAUUUAGACAUGUUAAUGAUAAGAACGUUCAAGAGAUUUAUUGGGUUUUGUGAUAUUAGUGCAGAUAGGUCCGCUAAACCUUUAGCAGAUCAUUUUUUUUUCAAUAUUUCCAGACCAGAGUAUAUAUGUGAUGAGAAUAAAUUAGUUGCUCAAAUAUAUAAUGGAACAGCUGUUAUGUCUGGUUCUCAUUAUGGUUUGCAGACUUUAAUAAGACAUAAAUAUAAAUAUGCCACAUAUAUCCAUUGCUAUGCACAUAAACUUGAUUUAGUUCUUAAACAGUCAGUAUCUCAUGUAAAAGAAUGUAAAAUAUUUUUUAAGAAACUAAACGAAUUCGCUGUUUUUUUCUCUAAAAGUACAAAAAGAAUAAAUGAAUUAAAUUUAAUAGUUAAAAAACAGUUUCCAGCUAUUUCUCCGACAAGUUUGAACUAUAAUAGUAGACUAAUUAAUACUGAAGUUGAACAUAAAGAAAAAAAUAAAACAAUUAAUGCAGACUAUUGUAGAUAAUGCUGAUAAAUGGGAUACUGAAUCAUUAAUAUGUGCUAGAGGGUUUUGUUUAACUUUAGAAGAUUUUGAUUUUAAUAUCAAUUUGAUUAUUUUUGGUAAAAUACUACCCUUAGCAUGGUACCUUUUUGACGUAUUGCAAAAAAAAGUAUUUCAUAUUGUACUCAAACAAUUAAAACAUUAAGAAACAAUUAAAUGAAUAUAAGCAAAAAUUUGAUUUAGUCUAGAAUUAAGUAAAUAAAUUAGAAAAAUAUAAAGUAGUUCCCUUUAGAAGUAAAAGAUCUUGAAUGAUCACAGUAUCAGUAGAUAGGAAAAUUAAUUAUAAACGUUUAUUCUAUGAAAUAAUAGAUACUAUAUUGGUCAAAAUUGAUGAAAGAUUUUCUAAAGUACACAAUUGAAAAUGUAUGGGGUUCCUUAAUUUUGAACAAUUUUUUUAUUACAAAAAUUAUAUUUCUCAGGAUAAAUUUAGUUCACUUAAGCAGAUUUAUGGCCAUUAUUUUGAAUUACCAAAACUAAAGAGUGAAUUGUCAAUUAUUAAUUAAUUAAUUAAUUCAUUUGAUCAGUUUUAUCAAAUACAUACUUAUAAACAUUAGAAUAUUUGAGGGAAACAGAUUCAACAACCGCCCUAAUACAAGUCACUAAAUUAUGUAAAUUAGUUUUAACUAUUUCUGCAACCAGUGCUUCUGCUAAAAGAUCUUUUUCUGCUUUAAAAAGGAUAGACUUACUUAAGAAUUAAUCAAACUCAAAAUAGACUUUCAAAUUUAUCUUUACUUUCCAUAAAAAAAGAUGUUUUAAUGAGUACAAAGUGUGAACUUAAUUUUUAUAAUGAUGUGAUUAAUGAUAUGUCAAAACAAAAUAGAAGAAUUUAAUUAUAUUAGAAGUAAACUUGUAAACUAUACUUGAAUUAAGUAUCUAUUAAAAAAUAUCAUUUGAUUUAU
Molecule: long non-coding RNA, 2354 nt
Filed under: Sipha flava (yellow sugarcane aphid)
Lineage: Eukaryota; Metazoa; Arthropoda; Insecta; Hemiptera; Aphididae
Description: uncharacterized LOC112692152
Source: RNAcentral